UUGACGGGGCCGCACAAGCGGUGGAGCAUGUGGUUUAAUUCGACGCAACGCGAAGAACCUUACCAGGGCUUGACAUCCCCUGACCGCGUAUGAAAGUACGUUUUCACCCUCGGGUGACAGGGAGACAGGUGGUGCAUGGUUGUCGUCAGCUCGUGUCGUGAGAUGUUGGGUUAAGUCCCGCAACGAGCGCAACCCCUACGUUUAGUUGCUAACAGGUGAAGCUGAGCACUCUAGACGAACUGCCGUUGACAAAACGGAGGAAGGUGGGGAUGACGUCAAAUCAUCAUGCCCCUUAUGUUCUGGGCUACACACGUGCUACAAUGGCCGGUACAGACGGAGGCGAAGCCGCGAGGCGGAGCAAAUCCGAAAAAGCCGGUCUCAGCUCGGAUUGCAGGCUGCAAUUCGCCUGCAUGAAGUCGGAAUCGCUAGUAAUCGCAGGUCAGCAUACUGCGGUGAAUACGUUCCCGGGCCUU
Molecule: ribosomal RNA, 473 nt
Filed under: uncultured Pelotomaculum sp.
Lineage: Bacteria; Bacillati; Bacillota; Clostridia; Eubacteriales; Desulfotomaculaceae
Description: bacterial SSU rRNA
Rfam family: Bacterial small subunit ribosomal RNA
Source: RNAcentral